Molecule: long non-coding RNA, 258 nt
Organism: Aethalodelphis obliquidens (Pacific white-sided dolphin)
Lineage: Eukaryota; Metazoa; Chordata; Mammalia; Artiodactyla; Delphinidae
Exons: 3
Source: RefSeq, a predicted model, not a curated record
AGGUGUAUGAGCUCUUCGUGUUUCUGGAGAAGUUAUUUUAAUAAAGGCUCGAGAACUCUGUUCUGUCACCAUGGACACUGGAUGUCGUUUAAACACUUAUUUUUUGGGGAGUCUCCUUUUCCUGCUAGAAAUAUGAGGUUUCUCUUGGAGUUUUAGCUUUGUGCCAUAGCUGCAGCAUCUGACUAGGGCCCACACUGGAGCAAAGAGGUACGGGGAGAGUUUCUUGCCUUUUGGGAAGUCUGAGGUCUUCUGCCAGCG